AAGAGUUGCAAAACUCCCUUCAUACCUUCGCGAACGCUACCCGAUUCUCGUUGCUUCGGCGGGGGUCCCCUCUCCAAAACGGGAGCCCCCGCCGGAGGAACGCAGCCAUAUACUCUUGUAUUUGCUGGCCUCUCUGAGUACGAUUUAUGCGAAUAAGUCA
This 160-nucleotide unclassified non-coding RNA is filed under the name soil metagenome. RNAcentral describes it as "partial internal transcribed spacer 1". The record is from RNAcentral.